Miniopterus natalensis is the source of this 1328-nucleotide long non-coding RNA. RefSeq lists it as uncharacterized. Lineage: Eukaryota; Metazoa; Chordata; Mammalia; Chiroptera; Miniopteridae. The record is from RefSeq and is a predicted model, not a curated record.
UUUUUGCAGUGCUACUGUGAUGCUCCUUGAUUGGGGCUCCUGUAGCUCAGAAACUACCUGUGUGUUAGGCAGUUGAGCCUGCGCAACAUAAUGGAGAGGCAAGGAUGCCUAGGAGGCAGGAAGGUAUUCCUGCCCAGCCAGUUCGUGUUGUGACUCGAAGAGCAGCAGAGAAAGCUGUUCAAAGCCCUGCCUAUAACCUGUGUUGGAACAAGCUUGGCUCAGUGUUUCUGAAAGAGAGACCUCUUUGAGCCCAGCCUGGGCUUGGCUGCAAGAGUCCAGCUGCUUCUAACUGUCUGGUAAUUAAGCCACCUUGAAAUUCCUCCAAGAAAGAUCCACGAGCUGCUGUUGACCAGCUGUGACCUCCCUGGCUUUAUCCGCAGUCAGAAGCCUGUGCUGUCUUAAAGUCACACACCAGCAUGCCUAGGGACUCUUCCACCUUGCUUACUGCAUCGCCCGUAUACAGGCAAUCUAUUUAUAUAACACUGAGCGAGCGCAAGGCUCUGCCUGUAAAUCUGAGCUUAUUUCUGAGAAAUUCAAAACAUCCUGCUCAGUCCCUCUCAUUUAUGUUCCCUUGCAGCUAUUAAAGAUGAGGGACACUUUUUAUGUUACUGCCCGUAAAUGGGCUGCCCCUUGCUGGAAGCAGUAAGGGCUCUUUAACAUAAAUUCUGUUUCUCCAGGAAGUGUAAGUCUGCAGAAUCUCCGAAAUUUAUUCCUGUAUCUUAAUAUCUGCUUCCAAUCUGGUGGCAGGAGUUUUCAUUCCCUUGGAAGACUGGAUUGAUUAGCAAGCUUGGUCCUGCCGUUUCCAGGAACCACAGUCCUGGCCAGCUGGCCAGGUAGCGUCACAUGUCACAGUAUGUAGGCCCAUCCUUUGCCUCAGUCCAUGUGCCAGAAGCGUCAGCUGCUCGAGUUCACCGUUAAGCAGUAAAGGUUCACCCAGUGGUACUGGGACAUGGUCCAUGUGGCUUUUGUCAGACUGUAGCAGGCUGACUCCCAGAGCAAAUAAUGUCACCUGUGUAUCUGCCUCCAAACUUGGUGCCAGCUCCUGGGUUGCUGAGACGAUCAAGUGUGAUAACAUGCAAAGUGCCUAGCCCCAAAUAGGUGUCAGAUAAUUACAGCGUUUGCUGCCAGGCAUUGGUGAUUAAAAGUGGUUAAUGAUUUUUUUUUAUAUAAAAAUAAAGAUUAAAAGGAGUAAAGUUGCAUAUACUAAGUUUUAAAUGAACUAUACCGAUGAUUGCUUCAGGAAUCUAGAGUCUGGAGCAUGGCUCUUUAAUAAAAAUACACCUGGCUGGUGUGGCUCCGUUGGUUGAGCAUUGCCCUGUGCACUGAAA